Molecule: long non-coding RNA, 470 nt
Organism: Pseudopipra pipra
Lineage: Eukaryota; Metazoa; Chordata; Aves; Passeriformes; Pipridae
Exons: 2
Source: RefSeq, a predicted model, not a curated record
GUGUACUCCUAAUUAAAGUGUCUUUUACUCCGUGUUCCCAGGCUCCCUCUUUCCCUUCGGUCGACGUGGGUGUGCCGGACGCCUCUGGCAGGACUAACCCCGUGGCUUUUAUGUCCAACGUGCUGUGCUGCGUGUGCCUGCAGAAUUGCCACGAGAGGAAAUACUUCAGAGGGGCUUCCCUCCAGAUAAGCCCUGAAUGUGCCAGGAGGUUUCAGCCGGGAGAAAGGAGCUGUGGAAGAAAAGCAGCCUAAAAAUAGCCAGUGGGGAUCAUCAGGUUUUCCAGCCAAGAAAAACCGGGAGGGAGAUGAGGGAAUCGGGUUCCAAUUCCUAAAGAUUUGGUGGGUGUAGGAAUGAUUUCUGUGUGUUUUCCAGUCCCUUUUGAUUCCUGGGAUGAUUUUAAAAUGAUGGCUAAAUUGGAGAUGUUGUUUUUGAGAGGAAAUGAUGCCAAAUAAAUGCAGAGUUUGGGGUCA